Molecule: ribosomal RNA, 1333 nt
Filed under: uncultured bacterium
Lineage: Bacteria
Description: bacterial SSU rRNA
Rfam family: Bacterial small subunit ribosomal RNA
Source: RNAcentral
GACGAACGCUGGCGGUGCGCCUAACACAUGCAAGUCGAACGAGCGAGAGAGAGCUUGCUUUCUCAAGCGAGUGGCGAACGGGUGAGUAACGCGUGAGGAACCUGCCUCAAAGAGGGGGACAACAGUUGGAAACGACUGCUAAUACCGCAUAAGCCCACAGGUCGGCACCGACCAGGGGGAAAAGGAGCAAUCCGCUUUGAGAUGGCCUCGCGUCCGAUUAGCUAGUUGGUGAGGUAAUGGCCCACCAAGGCAACGAUCGGUAGCCGGACUGAGAGGUUGAACGGCCACAUUGGGACUGAGACACGGCCCAGACUCCUACGGGAGGCAGCAGUGGGGAAUAUUGCACAAUGGGGGAAACCCUGAUGCAGCGACGCCGCGUGGAGGAAGAAGGUCUUCGGAUUGUAAACUCCUGUUGUUGAGGAAGAUAAUGACGGUACUCAACAAGGAAGUGACGGCUAACUACGUGCCAGCAGCCGCGGUAAAACGUAGGUCACAAGCGUUGUCCGGAAUUACUGGGUGUAAAGGGAGCGCAGGCGGGAAGACAAGUUGGAAGUGAAAUCUAUGGGCUCAACCCAUAAACUGCUUUCAAAACUGUUUUUCUUGAGUAGUGCAGAGGUAGGCGGAAUUCCCGGUGUAGCGGUGGAAUGCGUAGAUAUCGGGAGGAACACCAGUGGCGAAGGCGGCCUACUGGGCACCAACUGACGCUGAGGCUCGAAAGUGUGGGUAGCAAACAGGAUUAGAUACCCUGGUAGUCCACACCGUAAACGAUGAUUACUAGGUGUUGGAGGAUUGACCCCUUCAGUGCCGCAGUUAACACAAUAAGUAAUCCACCUGGGGAGUACGACCGCAAGGUUGAAACUCAAAGGAAUUGACGGGGGCCCGCACAAGCAGUGGAGUAUGUGGUUUAAUUCGACGCAACGCGAAGAACCUUACCAAGUCUUGACAUCCUGCGACGCACAUAGAAAUAUGUGUUUCCUUCGGGACGCAGAGACAGGUGGUGCAUGGUUGUCGUCAGCUCGUGUCGUGAGAUGUUGGGUUAAGUCCCGCAACGAGCGCAACCCUUACUGUCAGUUACUACGCAAGAGGACUCUGGCAGGACUGCCGUUGACAAAACGGAGGAAGGUGGGGAUGACGUCAAAUCAUCAUGCCCUUUAUGACUUGGGCUACACACGUACUACAAUGGCGUUAAACAAAGAGAAGCAAGACCGCGAGGUGGAGCAAAACUCAGAAACAACGUCCCAGUUCGGACUGCAGGCUGCAACUCGCCUGCACGAAGUCGGAAUUGCUAGUAAUCGUGGAUCAGCAUGCCACGGUGAAUACGUUCCCGGGCCUU